GACGAACGCUGGCGGCGUGCUUAACACAUGCAAGUCGAACGGAAAGGCCCUGCUUUUGUGGGGUGCUCGAGUGGCGAACGGGUGAGUAACACGUGAGUAACCUGCCCUUGACUUUGGGAUAACUUCAGGAAACUGGGGCUAAUGCCGUAUAGGAGCUCCUGCUGCAUGGUGGGGGUUGGAAAGUUUCGGCGGUUGGGGAUGGACUCGCGGCUUAUCAGCUUGUUGGUGGGGUAGUGGCUUACCAAGGCUUUGACGGGUAGCCGGCCUGAGAGGGUGACCGGCCACAUUGGGACUGAGAUACGGACCAGACUCCUACGGGAGGCAGCAGUGGGGAAUAUUGCACAAUGGGCGGAAGCCUGAUGCAGCAACGCCGCGUGCGGGAUGACGGCCUUCGGGUUGUAAACCGCUUUCGCCUGUGACGAAGCGUGAGUGACGGUAAUGGGUAAAGAAGCACCGGCUAACUACGUG
RNAcentral lists this ribosomal RNA (468 nucleotides) under uncultured bacterium. Its description in RNAcentral is "partial 16S ribosomal RNA". It matches the Rfam family "Bacterial small subunit ribosomal RNA", at positions 28 to 507 of the family's 1533-position model. The record is from RNAcentral.